UCUGCAUUGAGGUAAAAAAAAGCAGACGAUUAACUCAACUCUUCUUUCAAGUUCACGCUUCACAUUGUUGUACUUUCUGAGCUUGUUUAAUGAUGUCCCUUUUUUUUUUUUUUUUUAUCCUGAUAUUUUGUGGAUAAAUUAAGAAUAUUUUUAAUUUCAGCACAUUUUAAUACAAUGACAGAUAACAAAUGCACUCGUGAUUUUACUGCUCGCAACGUUGAAAAAUGUAAACACGUUGCAUUGACGGUAAUGAAAAAAGUAGAAAUUCUGCUAAAGAUGGAAGUGGGUGCUACUGCUUGAUUUAUAGCAGAAUCGUAUAGAAUUGCCCCAAGGACUGUGUAUGAUAUAUGGAACAAAAAAGAAAAGCUGUUGAAAUUUUACAGCAACAGUGAUUCUAAUACCGGAAUCCGAAAUCAUUACAUAGGCGAAAUCGGCAAACCUCGAUGCUGUCUUGUACAAGUGGUUCCGGCAGCGGCGGAGUGAUUGGGUACCUAUUUCAGGACUACUCUUGAGCAGAUUCAUGCUGAUUUACAAAUAGAGGAGCCUAAUUGGACCAUUUAUCAAAAUAUUUGGCCAUGAGGUUUGCAUUGGACAAGCAAGAUGAACUAGGCUCUGAAGCUCCAUCUGAAAUCUCACCAUUUUCAAUUUACAUUGCAGUCACUCCUGGACAAUUUUCACUUCUUGAUG
This 687-nucleotide unclassified non-coding RNA is filed under the name Stegodyphus dumicola. RNAcentral describes it as "e3 ubiquitin-protein ligase RING2-like, transcript variant X1". The record is from RNAcentral. Lineage: Eukaryota; Metazoa; Arthropoda; Arachnida; Araneae; Eresidae.